UACGGAAGGCAGCAGUGGGGAAUAUUGCACAAUGGGCGCAAGCCUGAUGCAGCUAUGCCGCGUGUAUGAAGAAGGCCUUAGGGUUGUAAAGUACUUUCAUCGGGGAGGAAAAAAACAAAAACUAAUAAUUUUAUUUUCUUGACGUUACCCGAAAAAGAAGCACCGGCUAACUCCGUGCCAGCAGCCGCGGUAAUACGGAGGGUGCUAGCGUUAAUCAGAAUUACUGGGCGUAAAGAGCACGUAGGUGGUUUUUUUAAGUUCAGAUGUGAAAUCCCUGGGCUUAACCUAGGAACUGCAUUUUGAAACUGAAAUACUAGAGUAUCGUAGAGGGAGGUAGAAUUCUAGGUGUAGCGGUGAAAUGCGUAGAUAUCUGGAGGAAUACCUGUGGCGAAAGCGGCCUCCUAAACGAAUACUGACACUGAGGUGCGAAAGCGUGGGGAGCAAACAGGGAUUAGAUACCCGU
This 463-nucleotide ribosomal RNA is filed under the name uncultured bacterium. RNAcentral describes it as "bacterial SSU rRNA". It matches the Rfam family "Bacterial small subunit ribosomal RNA", at positions 340 to 789 of the family's 1533-position model. The record is from RNAcentral.